This 5860-nucleotide long non-coding RNA is filed under the name Taeniopygia guttata (zebra finch). RNAcentral describes it as "lncRNA (ENSTGUG00000022251.1)". Lineage: Eukaryota; Metazoa; Chordata; Aves; Passeriformes; Estrildidae. The record is from RNAcentral.
UUUUUUUUUUUUCCACAAGAGAUUGCAUAUUUUUGUUAGCAGCUCAAUCACUUAAGCUCCUUCCAAACUCUCGGAUUUAACCAUCUGGACUUGAUAACUUAUUGUUCAGGGAAAGGGGGGGGGCGGAGGUUUUGUAGUUGUUGGGGGUUUUUUUUUCACUGGGUUUGUGGGUUUUUUAUGAGUUGCUUUGUGCCAGCACCCAUUAUUCUACCAGCAUAUUUUCCAACAGAUCCUCAUCUAAGCAGAUAUAGGAAAAGAAUCUCACAAAUACUGUUGGUAGGGACAGCUGAUACAAGAGAAAUCAUAAGAGAAUUCAGCUCCCCAGCAACAUCCUAAAAAUGGAGAUACUGAGUCACUUUAAGCACAGGAGGUGACUGGAAUUGAUCAAUGCGAGUUUUCUUGGAUAACAUCCACUCUGUUCUGACCAACCAGGCUAGUUUUGCUCAUUUGUUUGGGUCUCUUGCUGAAUAGUGAUUUCCAUCUUGACCCCAGAAGAUUCGGGGCAGGAACAGCACUAGCUUGAUUAUAUUCAGCCUAAGGUGUGAUGAAAAGAAAGUGACCUGAGUGCUGGGGGAUGCAUGAACCUGGGAGGAGAUGAAACCCAGAGAGGAUGAAAGGAAGUAAAUCAGAAGGUGAGCAGAACAUUGCUGGGCUGUUAGCUCCGGUGAUUUCCUUUCAACUGCAUCAGCUGCAAGACAUGAAAUGUAAUGGGCAAUGCUGGAGAACUCAAAUAAGUAGCCCCAUUAUGUGAGUGUUUCUCCCUUUGUGCCAGACUGGUUCUCCAUAGAUUUCACCAUGCUGGCUGGCUUGAAAAGGCAUGGCAGUUUAGAUCGGAGCACAGUCCCAUGGCCCUGAUGUGCCACUUACAUUAAGCCAUACCUUCUGCCGGUCCUGCAACAGGGAGUCAGGGAGGAAGCUUGAGAUGGAAAAGAAGCACCCACAGGUUUAUGUCACAAUGAACAUGCAACCAGCUGUGGAUACAUGUUCACCUGCCAACCUGCCUGCAAGCCAACGCUGGCAUUCCAGCUUCUGGAAACCAUCACAGCUCCAUCUAAAGUGACACUUAGAACAUCUGUAUGAAAUCUACCUACCCUGUGACAGACCUGGCAUACCUACCUUAGCUGACAGACACCUAUUCAAGUAUAUUUUGUAAAAGAGGAAGAGAAAUUUCUAUAAAUCCUUCUUAUCUAAUUGCUGCUGUUCAGUUCUUGUGGAGCAUGUUGAUGGGGCAAUUGUAGAAAAAAUAAUGUAGAAAAGAAUUGUAUAAAAAAUUGUGUAGCUUGUUGAAGUCAUUCCCUGUAGAUACUGCCUUUGUGGGGUAAUGUGGCCAUAAGUUUUUCUGGGUAGCCACCUAAAGGCAAGUCUGUGCCUCUUUCUAAGGCCUCACCAACAUCCCUCCAGCACAGAGCAAGGCAAUUCUCAGCAGUGCUGGGCAGCACAUUCACUUCCUCUGGCUCCGUGGGGUGAGGGCCAGGAGGACAUGAGGACAUGAGGAGGGGUUUCUCAGCCAUGCUCCCUCCUCCAUAUCGGGAGCAGAAAAACAUGCACAAGGAGAAGGCAUCUCAAAGCAGGACAAUCACAGGCUGGCUAUUCCCUUAAUGAAGGAGGUGAAUAGAAGAUGAGCAGUUUACUGUGCAGAGCUGGUCCUGCCACAGAGCUUUUGAGAGCACAUCCCUGCCCAGUACAAAUGUGGUCAGGUCAAACUCCAGUCUGUAAUAUCAAUAUAAGGUAUUUCCAUACCACAUUGUCACUGCAGGGACAUUUCUGCCUCCCUCUCCAUCCCUUUUUUCCUUUGCUGCUUCUGUCCUUUUUCUGUCAGGUCCUCCCUCUUUCUCAUCUGUGUCUGCAUCCUCUCCAUGCUCUGUGAGUCUCAGAUUCCCCUUUCCUUCUGCAGCACUUCCCUCCACUGCCUGCAGGUCUCCACCUCCAUGAAGCAAGAGAGGGCUCACAGUGGGAUGAGACAGAGAAGGAACUUGGGGGAGAAAGAGGUCUUCUUCCAACUUAGCCCAAAAAGACUCCCCACACACCAGACACAGCCCUGUUGAAGGUGCCUGUUUUGGCUGGAAUGAAGCAAUAUGGACACUCACACAGAUGCUGUUCUGCACAGGGUAUAAACCAGGUAGGGAGGUAGCACAAGUCCCAUCCAGCUGCUCUUCUAGCAGGGCUUUUAACUUGUCCCCCUCUCUUCACAUGCACUGGUCUGUCAUGUGUGUGUGUCUCAGGGCUGUCCUCAGCUACUUGGCAGUGGCUGUGCAGAAGGUGCAAGGGGGAGGUGAAAUGACGGGGGUUGGGGAUGGCCAGCUGCCAGUCAUGGCCUGUACCAGGGUCCCCUUAGUCCCCUGACACACACAGACACGUGGCACGGCUGCUUGGGGAGGCCCAGCCAAGAAGCCUGUCCUUCUGCACUGAAUCUCUACUCUGUUUCCCAAGUGACAAGCCACAAACUCCCUUUCUCUUCCCAAACAAACAGAGGCUUGAGUGAAUCGCUGCCUCGGCCCUGGCACGCAGCCCCCUGGUCAUUACGGAUUCUCCUCCGGCAUCCAGCGCCCUGCGAAUGACAGCACUCAGCCAUGUCAGCAGAGUCCACAGGCUGAACCUCCCUUCCCUGCAGCAUCUCUCUGUGCAGCCUGAAGCGUUGCUCCUUCACAUCCCUACUCCCCAAACCCCUCCUCUCCUACUGUGUUUGCGGCUACUGCCCGUUCCACAUAAAGGCAGGGGAAGCUGUGGCACAGCAUGGUGACCAGUCUGAGAGUUUGCUAGGAUUAGGAUUAAGACCCUUAGCAACAAGGUUGGGUAGACAGUGUCACCUCUUGACUUUAACCUCCAAAAGCUAAUUUGGCUGGGAUUUAUAGUAAAACCAACUUCAGAUUGCUAAACCUGGUCAAUAAAUUCUCCUAAUCACCAGAGACUUGCACACAUCCACGCAAAAGCAUGAGGCAAAUCAACCCUCACCAUCUUCCUGCCCUUUGGCCCUUCAGCACAAACAAAAUUACCUCCCUCAGCAGGACAAGCACCUGAGUGACAGACCUGGAACAAGUCCCUGCAGCAUAACAGUUGAGGAUUUGCUCUCAUACUCUGUCCCAAAUGAGCACAUGCCUCCAGCGUGGCUGGCUUGGCCUCUGUCCAUGGUGCAACCCCAUUUUCUGCCAACAUGAUCCUCUGAGGAAUGAUAAUGCCUCUCCUGGACCCUGUUCACUGACCUGUAGAGUGGUCAGGGCUGGAGAACAACAUCCUCCUACUGAGACAAUGCUUCCCUCCCCUUCCUCUUCAGCAUGAUGCCUGCCCUCCCCCCAGCCAAUGGCAUCCUCUCCAGCAGCCGCCUGGUGUGGGACAUGGCUUGCUCCCGGACUGUAAUUUAACCCUCUUUCAGACUGGCUUGCCUGACAGGAGGGACUGAACCAGGCUGGCUGCAGCAUGCAAUUACAUCUGUCAGAUUAGCCAUAGCAUGCAUGAUCCGGAGCACGUGCCAGAUGUGGCACACAAACAGCACUCGAGCCAGCACCAAGAGAGGGUUGUGCAGACAGAUAAUACCCAACACAACAUAAAUCCUGCCAGUACAGAGUUAAGCUAGCAUUGUUUUCUAAACAAAUCUCAAACAGCAGAGUGAAUUCAUAUUGGAUCAGCAUUUCCUACCAUGUAGCUGCAGGAGUUUUGACCCAGUACCAAGCUCCCUAGUGCUGGAUUUAUUGUCUUGUCCACCCUAAGUCAGUGCCAAAGCCAUGUCCUGAGAGGACUGAGGAAUUUAACCGAUGCCAAAUUACUUUGGAGGCUCCACAUGGGAAGAGCUUUCUGCAGCCUCCCCAACAAUGACAGUGAGUGUGACUGCAUGGGCACGCUCCCUGCCAGGCUCCGGCCAGGAGGAAGAGUGACACAUCAACAACAGCACGGGCACUUGUCACCCGCAACACAGGCAUGCACGCACCGGGGGGUGUGAACCACAGGGGAAAGGAUCACUUCACAGUAUUAUCAGCUGGCACCAGCAUCAGAAACAACCCCACUAGGCAGCACCAGCCCUUCCCAAGGCUGACUAAAGCUGCUCCUGCGCAGCAUGGUGGUCACAAAGAAGGAAAAUGAGGAACUGGUGCUGAAAGAGGGAAAAGCAGGGCUCGGGGCACCACAGAGAAGGAAGAAAAACAGCAGGAGGCAGCAAAAAGAAGUUGAAGGCAGCAGUUUGUGUAGAAGGGUAGGUAUUGCAGCAGUGGGUCAGGGAGCAUUGAGGAAUUGCAGCUGGGGAAAACUGAUGGCAGGGUCCUGCAGAGGCAGCAGAGAGAUGCACUGGAAGAGGUAGUGGAAGAUGCGCCCUCCUUGUCAGCAUCACCAGGUGGGACCUGGGCAGGAGGGGAGCAACCCAUCACUUCCUUUAGGGGACACCACACCAGCACCACUGUUGGGGCUGCACAGCAGCACAGACCCUGCCAGUCCCUUCCCCUCAGAGAAACACAACAGCCCCCAAAAUCUGACUCGGAAAAACUCUGGUCUCUGCCAGAGUCUGUUCAGAGCCUGAAACCAGAGCCUGGCAGGUUGCAAACUCCCAGACCUCCCCUUUAAAAUCCACUCCUCUGAGGCUACCCACUACUUCGUCAGCAGCUCAUUUCUUUAGGGUCUAUUUUGGGGAGAGGCAUCUCCAGGCACGUUCAUGCUCCUUGAGGACUGGCAGCAUGUCUGGGCCUGCCCAGGCACUGGGAGAAACAGCUGCUCCCACUCCCCUCCCACCUCCACACCACAGCAGCUCCAGCAGCUCGGAGACAUGGCUUGGAAAUAGUGCAGCUGAUCUUCCUGCUUUCCCUGCAGAGGAGCUGAGGAGAGGAGCACUGAGGGCAGCCCCAGGCGGCAGGAGGCCCUUUCAGGUGCUCCCAAGAGCUUUGCACCCCAAAAUGGGUCAGGCUCGGCACAGGGCCCCUUCACUGCCUGUGCAGGGCACACAGCGUUCCCAGCUUAUGAAACACACUGCCUCCAGUAGGAAAACAUCCCUUUCCAGUUGAGAAGGAGCACCAGGGGACAGCAGAUAAGCAGUGACAAAGAGCAUGCCCAUCACCCCAAAAGCUCAAAAGCUGUGGCAGGCUGGGCCGGGUAUUCAGAGGAGGUACCUGGCUAGGAAAUGGAGGCCAGCAUCUUCUAUGGGGAAUCGGAAUCCCCAAAAUAUCUGUGAGAUGAGGAGGGAGGGGGAAUCCCCCCCUCUAUGGCCCACUCCUGGUAGCAUGAUGCCCACUCCUGCUCCAAGCUGCAUCCCUGAGGUGGCCCAGGCCAGGGCUGCAGAGCCCAGCUUUUCUGCUGGCCAGGCUGCAGCAGAGUCAGCCUGGCUGCCCCUUCUCCCGAGAAACAGGGGAGGUGGAGGAAAAUGCCGAAUGGAGAAGAGCAGACAGGUGUGUGCCCAGGGAGGGGUGGGAAAGGGGCGGAAUACACUCAGGACUGCGUGCGGGGGACCCGCAGCGCGUCCCUCGGCUGCUCUGCAAACAACCCCUCCCUGCACACGCAGGCAGAGCCGCAAGGGAAGGGGCUCAGAGGGGAGGGAGCAGCUCUCCGUUGUGGGGAGAGUGCUGAUGAAAGCCUAGAUUUUGUUCACAGUAUAGCAGAAACCCCUGCCCUUCUCCUCCCUCACACCUCUGGGGAACGAGCAACGAGAGGGAGGGAGGGCGGGAUGGAGAGAGGCACAGACAGAGGUGCUGAGGUUGGCUUACCUCGCAGUGCCUGCGCCGGGGGUGCCCGGGUGCGCGGGAGGUAAAUCCAGGGCUCUGCUCUCCUUGGCAAGUGCUGGGAAAGGUCUCUGUUCAGUCACAUGAAGGAGUGGCCUGUGAGUAGGUGCUCCAGCUCACCGCUCGAUCGAAGCUGCCAUGGAUUCAUUGCGAACGACUUCGCCUUC